This 1182-nucleotide long non-coding RNA is filed under the name Chloebia gouldiae (Gouldian finch). RNAcentral describes it as "Erythrura gouldiae (Gouldian finch) lncRNA (ENSEGOG00005018452.1)". Lineage: Eukaryota; Metazoa; Chordata; Aves; Passeriformes; Passeridae. The record is from RNAcentral.
UGGAUGGAAUUUGGGGUUUGGGUGGAAUUUUGGGCUUUUGGGUGGUCCUGGGUGGAUUUUGGGUGGAAUUUGGUCUUGAGGAACCUUCUGGAGAAUUUCAGGCUGAAGGUCAUGGUGGAGUUUGGGGACCUUUUGGGUGGAGUUCUGGGUUUGGGUGGAAUUUUGGGGUCACCUGGGAGGAAUUUGGAAUUUUGGGUGGAAUUUUGGGUUUUUGGCGGAAUUUAGUCUUGAGGAACCUUCUGGAGAACUUCAGGAUGAAGACAAAGGUGGAAUUUUGGGGUCUCCUGGGAGGAAUUUUGGGGUUUUGGGUGGAAUUUUGGGUCACCUGGAUGGAAUUUGGAAUUUUGGGUGGAAUUUUGGCGUUUUUGGUGGAAUUUGGUCUUGAGGAACCUUCUGGAGAACUUCAGGAUGGAGAUCAGGGUGGGGUUUGGGGACCUUUUGGGUGGAAUUUUUGGGUUUUGGGUGGUCCUGGGUGGAUUUUGGGUGGUUUUGGGUGGAAGUUGAUGGUGAGGAACCUUCUGGGGAACUUCAGGCUGAAGGUCAUGGUGGGGUUUGGGGACCUUUUGGGUGGAAUUUUUGGGGUUUUGGGUGGAAUUUUGGGGUUUUGGGUGGUCCUGGGUGGAUUUUGGGUGGAAUUUUGGGGUCACCUGGGAGGAACUUUGAAAUCCCCGAAAUCCCGAAAUUCCCAAAAUUCCCGUUUUUCUCCCCAAGCCGACCGCGAGGUCCAGCGGAUCCUUCUGGAGCUGCUGAACCAGAUGGACGGGUUCGACCAGAACGUCAACGUCAAGGUGGGCACGGGGGGCCCCCAGGUGUGCCCAGAAGGUGCCCGGGGGCGCCCAGGUGACCACGGCCACACCCCUGGCCACACCUGGACACAUCUGGGGCACACCUGGACACACCUGGAGGAGGAAUUUUGGGGAUUUUUGGGGUUUUUUGGAGAUUUUUGGGAAUUUUGGAGGUUUUAUGGGUUUUUUAUGGAUUUGGGUGGCUCCCAGGUGUGCCCAGGUGUGCCAACCUCACCUGUCCCACAGGUGAUCAUGGCUGGGCACAGCUGGGCACACCUGGAGGAGGAAUUUUUGGGGUUUAUGGGGAUUUUUUGAGGGUUUUUUUGGGGUUUUUUGGGUUUUUUAUGGGCCUGGGUGGGUUCGGGUGGCUCCCAGGUGUGCCCAGGUGUGCCAACCU